Molecule: long non-coding RNA, 315 nt
Filed under: Elaeis guineensis (African oil palm)
Lineage: Eukaryota; Viridiplantae; Streptophyta; Magnoliopsida; Arecales; Arecaceae
Description: long non-coding RNA (EGUI_LNC033351)
Source: RNAcentral
UGGUCUCCAUGUAAGGCCAAAAGUUAUAUGAAAAGAAACUAGCGGACAUUGUUGCGGCAAAUUUUUUGCUUUGAUUUUAAAGAUAUGUCAUGUGGUUGAGGGGAGUUGGACUCUAGAAUAAAAAUAAAAAUGAAUAAUUUUCAUUCUAACCAUUUGAUUGUGUGGAGGAGUUCCAUUCCUAUUUCAAGUCCAAAAGAGAAUGAUAAUGCUUCAAUCCUCCAAUCCAGCUCAAGUUAAGAAACUGUCCAUCAAAUUUACAUGACUAAUGAUUUGGAUGGAGGAUAAAAAAUGGAGCUAAGCUUAGGUAUCAAGCGG